CUUUCCAACUGUCUCCCAAAGGUGUCUAUCCAUGGAAACAAUUGAUUCAUCCUGGUGUGCUGGCAAAUCUUGAGUAGGACAAUCUGAGGGGCAGACCUUAGAAGUUUAUCUUAACCAACGACAAAAUUCUGGCUUCCCAGC
This is an unclassified non-coding RNA of Cricetulus griseus (Chinese hamster), 141 nucleotides long. Ensembl annotates it as predicted gene, 27285. Lineage: Eukaryota; Metazoa; Chordata; Mammalia; Rodentia; Cricetidae. The record is from Ensembl.